This 53-nucleotide unclassified non-coding RNA is filed under the name Flavobacterium urocaniciphilum. Its description in RNAcentral is "Flavo-1 RNA". The record is from RNAcentral. Lineage: Bacteria; Pseudomonadati; Bacteroidota; Flavobacteriia; Flavobacteriales; Flavobacteriaceae.
AUCUAGCCCCGAUUGGAAGAAGCUACCUUGUAGCCUGGAAAGCGGGAAAGUCA